This 253-nucleotide ribosomal RNA is filed under the name uncultured bacterium. Its description in RNAcentral is "partial 16S ribosomal RNA". It matches the Rfam family "Bacterial small subunit ribosomal RNA", at positions 524 to 776 of the family's 1533-position model. The record is from RNAcentral.
UACAGAGACUGCAAGCGUUAUUCGGAUUCACUGGGCGUAAAGGGUGCGCAGGCGGUUGGGUGUGUCAGAUGUGAAAUCCCGAGGCUUAACCUCGGAACUGCGUCUGAAACUACUCGACUAGAGUACUGGAGAGGGAAACGGAAUUCACGGUGUAGCAGUGAAAUGCGUAGAUAUCGUGAGGAACACCAGAGGCGGAGGCGGUUUCCUGGACAGUUACUGACGCUCAGGCACGAAAGCAUGGGGAGCAAAAGGG